GGCAGCAAGAAAGGUUCCCCAAGAAGUAAACAAAAGUGUCUUGUGAGGAGCGAUGCCGUCCUUUACAAAAAGUCACCGCACAUCAUGCUCACAGUAGUUUGACCAACCACCCUCUUGCCAUGUUGCUGUCUGAAGAUCCUAAUUCUGGCCUGCUCCUUGGGUAUCAGACAGAGUCUCACUCUGUUGCCAUCUCGGCUCACUGCAACCUCCGUCUCCCAUGUUCAAGUGAUUCUCCUGCCUCAGCUUCCUGAAUAGCUAGGACUACAGGUGGGUACCACUAGGCCCCCAUAAUUUUUGUUUUUAGUAGAGAUGGGGUUUCGCCAUGUUGGCCGGAAUGGUCUUGAUCUCUUGACCUUGUGAUCUGCCUGCCUCAGCCUCCCAAAGUGCUGGGAUUACAGGUGUGAGCCACCAUGCCCAGCCAGCAAUUAGCCAUUUUACAUAGCAGUUUUCAAGGCUAUGGCAGUCUGCAUCAGGCACUUACACUGAUGAAUUUUGAUUAUGGUAUAUAUCAUUCAAACUGUGCCUAUUUUGUUUAAAAGUAUUGUUUAUUGAAUACAUUACUUACAAAUGAUAUCAGGGAAAUAACUUUCGUUAUAAACCAUAAGUGAUGGAUUAGAUGGUAAGGUUCACUUCCAGAGGAGAGGCUUCUAAGGUGGAAUUUCAAUUCACGCAGGAGGGUAAGACUGGGAAGUUCUUGUAGGCAAGGCAUCUUAGAGGAACAGUAAGAGCCACCCCUACUCUGGCUCCACUCCUACCAGAUAAAGAGAUGUUUGGAACAUGAGAUCCUGGAGGAAUUGUCUUUUUCUUAGGGCCUGGAAAGAAUGAGUAUGACACUGCUAGACGGAAUUGUAGGGCACCAAUAUAUUUGGCUCUCAAAAGGGAGAAUGGUUUAUUUAGAAGCCAGUUUUCCCCAAAGAGUUCUUUCCGUUGUGAUAAGGGGAUGCUAGAAAGUGGGUUGGGCUAGUGGUUGCAGAACAAGUGGGUACAGUAUCAGUAUGUGUCACCCCUGGUAGAGGGAUGGUCCUGCCUGAGGUUAACCACCAACUUAACACCAGACACCUCCACCCACUUCCCAUGACUGGACACCCCAGGGGAGGGAAAAGGCCAAUUCAGAACUAACCGAGUUUAUACCUCAUUUGACUAAAAAACUCUGAAGUGCCUGAGAAAAAAAUCCUGGAAUUUACUUGAUUAAGUUGCUGCCAUCCAGCAACUAAGCUCAAUUAUAAAGAUGAAUAUUAUUUUACAUAUCUGAUUUUUCUCAGCUAAAAAUAUUGUGCUUACAAAGAUUACUGUAAUGUUAGUAAAUAUGCUCUAUUUCCUAUGCAGAUGUAUAAAAUGAUUCUGGAGCAUUUAUUGGAAACUAGAAUCAGCUUCAUAGACAGGAUUGUAAACUAUAAAGUCCCUUUAAUGGAAUAAUAAGGAGAAAUUAAUUGCCAUAUGUUGAUAUGCUCAGAAGUGUUUACAUAACCUAUUCAUUGACUGGAAAUUUUAAAAAUAAUUAAUGUUUCAAGUAAGAAAUCACCAAUAGCAGAAGUUCAACAAUAUCAUCACAAAAACCUCCAGGAUUUUGCCUGUCAGUUUCUAGAAAUGCUCACUUAAGAGAGCAUAUUCUAUUCUGUGAAUGCAUUUAGAGUGUUUGGAGCUGAUUUUAUGACAUCCUAACUUUCUUCAUAGUUGUAAGACCUUGGAGAGAAUCAUUGAAUUACAUUUUUGAAUAAAAUACUUUUUUUUUGCUUUUCUUUUUAAAGCAAUUGAAUCUAAUUUUUUAUUGCACUAAAAGUAUAACUCAUAUAAUUUGUAAGGAUUUCCCUGAAGGAUGCAUUUUUUUUUACAUACCUGGUAAUCAACCAUUUCUUCAAGGGCUUUGGAGGCAUCAAUGUUUUGAGUAUGGCUAAGACUUGGGUAGUUUUACCCAAUCACAGAACUCCCUAUGUUCACUUUAAGGCAUAUCAUAGAUCUAG
Molecule: long non-coding RNA, 1961 nt
Filed under: Callithrix jacchus (white-tufted-ear marmoset)
Lineage: Eukaryota; Metazoa; Chordata; Mammalia; Primates; Cebidae
Description: lncRNA (ENSCJAG00000078546.1)
Source: RNAcentral